Molecule: transfer RNA, 85 nt
Filed under: Felis catus (domestic cat)
Lineage: Eukaryota; Metazoa; Chordata; Mammalia; Carnivora; Felidae
Rfam family: tRNA
About the family: Transfer RNA (tRNA) molecules are approximately 80 nucleotides in length. Their secondary structure includes four short double-helical elements and three loops (D, anti-codon, and T loops).
Source: Rfam by way of RNAcentral
GCCUGGGUGGCUCAGUUGGUUAAGUGUCUGACUUUGGCUCAGGUCACGAUCUCACGGUUUGUGGGUUUGAGACCCACCUCAGGUU